RNAcentral lists this long non-coding RNA (362 nucleotides) under Bos taurus (domestic cattle). RNAcentral describes it as "long non-coding RNA NONBTAT010827". Lineage: Eukaryota; Metazoa; Chordata; Mammalia; Artiodactyla; Bovidae. The record is from RNAcentral.
CCAAAUUAGGUGAGCUAUUGAUUGCCUCCUACAAAAGGCCCAAACAUCUCUCCUACUUGGGCCUACUCAAGAAAACUAUUAUCCUUAACACAGAUUCUUUGGCAGUGUUUUCAACCCAUUGCUCCUUUACAUGAGACUUCUAGUUCUUUGCAGGAAAAGCAGAAGUUAAUUUUUUUUUUCUUACGUAAUCUUUAGAUAUCAAUUGUUGGUUGGUUCAGAACAUUUUGGGGAAGGACAAUCACCCCUUUCAAGUCUUUUAAGACUUUAUCAUUGGUAAAAAGCUCUAAAACUGUGUAACUUCCUGACAUUAAUGAGAUGUUGUUGAGUCUCUUGCAUUAGUUUGUUGCUCAGUCGCUCAGCCG